GGUUCAAAGGACUUUCAACCACUUUCUGAAAGCUAGAGGGAACCAUUUUAGGAUUUUAUGCAAGGAAUUAACUUGAUAAAAUUUGUAUUUUAGAAAGAUUAUUUUGGCACAAGAAUGGAAAAUGGAUUUGAAGAAGGUAAGAUUGGAGGCAAGGCAGUCUAUGAGAAGCUACUGCUGAAAUCUCGGAAAGAAGAUGAAAGUGAGGCAGACCAUAUGGGACUUGGACCUUGAUUGACAAAUGAGCACAGUAUGUGGUUUUCAGGGGGAAUUUACUGAAAAGAGAACCCUUCACUGUUUUAUGGAUGGAUUUUGGAGGAAUCUACAGUCAAUGCAUAUUUCUAAAUUCCUUCACAACUGCUGUGAUUCUCUAAAUCUUGGGUCACUUUAAUACUGAAGCAUUUUAUUAUAAAUGAAGCUGUCCUAUGCAAUAUAGACUCUCCCAGAGAGACACUAACUCCAAAUUCAUCACUGAAAUCAGCCCAAGAGAAUAUCCUUCUUAUCUAGGCAUUUUGUGAGUAUACAACUUAAUAUUUCAUUGUGAUAAACAGUCAAGGAUUCUGAACAAAGAUGAAUAUAAUUUAUUCAAAGUCACCUUCAUACAAAUGGCAAUUUUGGAUGAAAGUAGAAACGCCUAUUUCUUAAUCAUAGUUUCUUCAUUUUUUCUGGUAGUCCUAGAAGUUCUAACGCUAGAUGCUGGUGGUAAAAAGUAAUAUUGGGUGAUAAUAAAUAUAUUAUGAAAUAUCCUUUCUUUUUGAAGUUUUUUUGAGACUUUUCACAAUUGUGACCACUACAAAACUACCCCUAAAAUUAUUUCAAUCUACAUUAUCUAUACAUGUAGGUUGAUACAGCAAUAUUUCCUGGCACCCAUCUAAGUCAUGACAGUUGUUAUUUCAGAGACUUUAACUUAGUUAUUGAAGCACAUCUUAAUAUAGUUGAGAAGUCAUUACUGGAGUUGAUAGUGCUUUCAAUCUUUUACUAAAACUUAUAUAUUGAGAAUCAGCAUUGGACAGCACACAGUCCUUCAAGGGUUAGAAAACAUUUGACACGAAACUUUAAAAAAAAUUCAGUUUAAAAUCUAUGUGAUUAAAAUAUGUGACUCAAGCAUCUAAAAGAAAGUUGUUUACAUUUCCAGGCUAAAACCUAUGUAAUUAUUUAUACUACCAGUAUGAUGAAAAUUAUUCACCAACCAUUUUAUGGAUCAAUAAUUAAUUAAUAAACACCUAUAAUCUGUGUACCUGGGAAUCUAGACUUAGAGAGGUAGUAAGGGAUAGAAUCAAUAUUUAGGACACACUGAUCCUAUUUGAUGUUUUUUAUGCUCUUGUAAUUGGUUUAUCUUUUCUAUUUGCUGCUUCUUGAUAGGUGGGUUUUCUUAUUAAUUUUGGGUUUGGUUAUGUGACUUGUUUUGCUCUUUAGAAUAUGAAUAAAAUCGAAAGCAUUAAGUGAGCUGAGGUUUUAGGAGGCUUUAUGGACGUCCAGUUGCCCUCUUAGUUCUGUCCCUGAACUAAGUACUGGGUUCCAAAAUAACACAGAGUCCCAGCUUAGUGAAGAGAGCAAGAAAUAAAUAUUUGUCUUUGAAAGCCAUUGAAAUGUUGAAAUUGUCUGAUGCGCUAUAACCUGGGAAAAGUUUUAUGUGUAUACACUUAAGCUUCACAGCCAUUAUAUGAACUGCAUGUAAUAUUUUCAUU
Molecule: long non-coding RNA, 1685 nt
Filed under: Canis lupus familiaris (dog)
Lineage: Eukaryota; Metazoa; Chordata; Mammalia; Carnivora; Canidae
Description: lncRNA (ENSCAFG00000055503.1)
Source: RNAcentral